AACGAACGCUGGCGGCAUGCCUAACACAUGCAAGUCGAACGAGACCUUCGGGUCUAGUGGCGCACGGGUGCGUAACGCGUGGGAACCUGCCCUUAGGUUCGGAAUAACUCCCCGAAAGGGGUGCUAAUACCGGAUAACGUCUUCGGACCAAAGAUUUAUCGCCUUUGGAUGGGCCCGCGUUGGAUUAGCUAGUUGGUAGGGUAAAAGCCUACCAAGGCGACGAUCCAUAGCUGGUCUGAGAGGAUGAUCAGCCACACUGGGACUGAGACACGGCCCAGACUCCUACGGGAAGCAGCAGUGGGGAAUAUUGGACAAUGGGCGAAAGCCUGACCCAGCAAUGCCGCGUGAGUGAUGAAGGCCUUAGGGUUGUAAAGCUCUUUUACCCGGGAUGAUAAUGACAGUACCGGGAGAAUAAGCUCCGGCUAACUCCGUG
RNAcentral lists this ribosomal RNA (433 nucleotides) under uncultured bacterium. RNAcentral's name for it is "partial 16S ribosomal RNA". It matches the Rfam family "Bacterial small subunit ribosomal RNA", at positions 29 to 507 of the family's 1533-position model. The record is from RNAcentral.